AGAGUUUGAUCCUGGCUCAGAACGAACGCUGGCGGCAUGCCUAACACAUGCAAGUCGAACGAGACCUUCGGGUCUAGUGGCGCACGGGUGCGUAACGCGUGGGAAUCUACCCUUGGGUUCGGAAUAACAGUUAGAAAUGACUGCUAAUACCGGAUGAUGACGAAAGUCCAAAGAUUUAUCGCCCAAGGAUGAGCCCGCGUAGGAUUAGCUAGUUGGUGAGGUAAAGGCUCACCAAGGCUACGAUCCUUAGCUGGUCUGAGAGGAUGAUCAGCCACACUGGGACUGAGACACGGCCCAGACUCCUACGGGAGGCAGCAGUGGGGAAUAUUGGACAAUGGGCGAAAGCCUGAUCCAGCAAUGCCGCGUGAGUGAUGAAGGCCUUAGGGUUGUAAAGCUCUUUUACCCGGGAUGAUAAUGACAGUACCGGGAGAAUAAGCUCCGGCUAACUCCGUGCCAGCAGCCGCGGUAAUAC
Molecule: ribosomal RNA, 472 nt
Filed under: uncultured bacterium
Lineage: Bacteria
Description: bacterial SSU rRNA
Rfam family: Bacterial small subunit ribosomal RNA
Source: RNAcentral